GAUGAACGCUGGCGGCGUGCUUAACACAUGCAAGUCGAACGGACUUUAGGAGCUUGCUCCUGAAGUUAGUGGCGGACGGGUGAGUAACGCGUGGGUAACCUGCCCUAUGCAGGGGGAUAACGUUUGGAAACGAACGCUAAUACCGCAUAACCUAGUCGGUUCGCAUGAACGGAUUAGCAAAGAUUUUAUCGGCAUAGGAUGGACCCGCGUUAGAUUAGCUAGUUGGUGAGAUAACAGCCCACCAAGGCAACGAUCUAUAGCCGGCCUGAGAGGGUGAACGGCCACACUGGGACUGAGACACGGCCCAGACUCCUACGGGAGGCAG
Molecule: ribosomal RNA, 325 nt
Filed under: uncultured Bacillota bacterium
Lineage: Bacteria; Bacillati; Bacillota
Description: bacterial SSU rRNA
Rfam family: Bacterial small subunit ribosomal RNA
Source: RNAcentral